GAUGAACGCUGGCGGCGUGCCUAAUACAUGCAAGUCGAGCGAACGGACGAGAAGCUUGCUUCUCUGAUGUUAGCGGCGGACGGGUGAGUAACACGUGGAUAACCUACCUAUAAGACUGGGAUAACUUCGGGAAACCGUAGCUAAUACCGGAUAAUAUUUUGAACCGCAUGGUUCAAAAGUGAAAGACGGUCUUGCUGUCACUUAUAGAUGGAUCCGCGCUGCAUUAGCUAGUUGGUAAGGUAACGGCUUACCAAGGCAACGAUGCAUACACGACCUGAGAGGGUGAUCGGCCACACUGGAACUGAGACACGGUCCAGACUCCUACGGGAGGCAGCAGUAGGGAAUCUUCCGCAAAGGGCGAAAGCCUGACGGAGCAACGCCGCGUGAGUGAUGAAGGUCUUCGGAUCGUAAAACUCUGUUAGUAGUGAAGAACAUAUGUGUAAGUAACUGUGCACAUCUUGACGGUACCUAAUCAGAAAGCCACGGCUAACUACGUG
This 497-nucleotide ribosomal RNA is filed under the name uncultured bacterium. RNAcentral's name for it is "partial 16S ribosomal RNA". It matches the Rfam family "Bacterial small subunit ribosomal RNA", at positions 28 to 507 of the family's 1533-position model. The record is from RNAcentral.